RNAcentral lists this ribosomal RNA (450 nucleotides) under uncultured bacterium. RNAcentral's name for it is "bacterial SSU rRNA". It matches the Rfam family "Bacterial small subunit ribosomal RNA", at positions 335 to 799 of the family's 1533-position model. The record is from RNAcentral.
ACUCCUACGGGAGGCAGCAGUGGGGAAUAUUGCACAAUGGGCGCAAGCCUGAUGCAGCAACGCCGUGUGAGUGAAGAAGGUUUUCGGAUCGUAAAACUCUGUCCUAAGGGAAGAAACAAAUGACGGUACCUUAGGAGGAAGCCCCGGCUAACUACGUGCCAGCAGCCGCGGUAAUACGUAGGGGCGAAGCGUUAUCCGGAAUCACUGGGCGUAAAGGGUGCGUAGGCGGCUUAGCAAGCCAGGGGUGAAAGGCAUUGGCUCAACCAAUGUAAGCCUUUGGAACUGUUAAGCUUGAGUGCAGGAGAGGUAAGUGGAAUUCCUAGUGUAGAGGUGAAAUUCGUAGAUAUUAGGAGGAACACCAGUGGCGAAGGCGACUUACUGGACUGUAACUGACGCUGAUGCACGAAAGCGUGGGUAGCGAACAGGAUUAGAUACCCUGGUAGCACAGAG